CAGAUACGUGUCCUAAGGCAUUCGGCUGAAUGUUUGGGUUUUAGGGAAGGAAGGAUAUUCCAUGUGUAACAUUCAGUGUUGGGUGAUCUGGACUCAGUAUAGAAAGCCUAAUAUAUUGCCUGGACCUUUGAGUCUAAACAGAAUCUGAAGCAGAUCUUGAACAACUGAUCAAUCAACAACAAGAAUCAACCAUCUUGGUUUCUCAUUUGUCAAUAAGGUGCAGUAGUCCUACCCACAUAUUAGGGAAUGAUAUGCCAUAAUUAAAUACUAAUGCUUCUGUCUU
This is a long non-coding RNA of Piliocolobus tephrosceles (Ugandan red Colobus), 283 nucleotides long. RefSeq lists it as uncharacterized. Lineage: Eukaryota; Metazoa; Chordata; Mammalia; Primates; Cercopithecidae. The record is from RefSeq and is a predicted model, not a curated record. The transcript is spliced from 2 exons.